RNAcentral lists this ribosomal RNA (424 nucleotides) under uncultured prokaryote. RNAcentral describes it as "bacterial SSU rRNA". It matches the Rfam family "Bacterial small subunit ribosomal RNA", at positions 355 to 796 of the family's 1533-position model. The record is from RNAcentral.
UGGGGAAUCUUAGACAAUGGGGGAAACCCUGAUCUAGCCAUGCCGCGUGUGUGACGAAGGCCCUAGGGUCGUAAAGCACUUUCGCCAGGGAAGAUAAUGACGGUACCUGGUAAAGAAACCCCGGCUAACUCCGUGCCAGCAGCCGCGGUAAUACGGAGGGGGUUAGCGUUGUCCGGAAUUAUUGGGCGUAAAGAGCGUGUAGGCGGCCCGGUAAGUCUGCCGUGAAAACCUGGGGCUCAACCCCGGGCGUGCGGUGGAUACUGCUGGGCUAGAGGAUGGUAGAGGCGAGUGGAAUUCCCGGUGUAGCGGUGAAAUGCGCAGAGAUCGGGAGGAACACCAGUAGCGAAGGCGGCUCGCUGGGCCAUUCCUGACGCUGAGACGCGAAAGCAUGGGGAGCGAACAGGAUUAGAUACCCGCGUAGUCC